GGGCCGUUAGCUCAAUUAGGCAGAGCAGCUGACUCUUAAUCAGCGGGUUGGGGGUUCGAUUCCCUCACGGCUCAUCA
Molecule: transfer RNA, 77 nt
Filed under: Anaerolineae bacterium
Lineage: Bacteria; Bacillati; Chloroflexota; Anaerolineae
Description: tRNA-Lys
Rfam family: tRNA
About the family: Transfer RNA (tRNA) molecules are approximately 80 nucleotides in length. Their secondary structure includes four short double-helical elements and three loops (D, anti-codon, and T loops). Further hydrogen bonds mediate the characteristic L-shaped molecular structure. tRNAs have two regions of fundamental functional importance: the anti-codon, which is responsible for specific mRNA codon recognition, and the 3' end, to which the tRNAs corresponding amino acid is attached (by aminoacyl-tRNA synthetases). tRNAs cope with the degeneracy of the genetic code in two manners: having more than one tRNA (with a specific anti-codon) for a particular amino acid; and 'wobble' base-pairing, i.e. permitting non-standard base-pairing at the 3rd anti-codon position.
Source: RNAcentral